RNAcentral lists this ribosomal RNA (140 nucleotides) under Actinomycetales bacterium SR-L. RNAcentral's name for it is "partial 16S ribosomal RNA". It matches the Rfam family "Bacterial small subunit ribosomal RNA", at positions 355 to 507 of the family's 1533-position model. Lineage: Bacteria; Bacillati; Actinomycetota; Actinomycetes; Actinomycetales. The record is from RNAcentral.
UGGGGAAUAUUGCACAAUGGGCGCAAGCCUGAUGCAGCGACGCCGCGUGAGGGAUGACGGCCUUCGGGUUGUAAACCUCUUUGUGCACCAUGAACCGGUAAGUGACGGUACCUGCAGAAGAAGCGCCGGCUAACUACGUG